GACGUGGCCGAGUGGUUAAGGCGUUGGACUGCUAAUCCAAUGCACUUUGUGCGCGUGAGUUCGAGUCUCACCGUCG
RNAcentral lists this transfer RNA (76 nucleotides) under Triparma pacifica. It matches the Rfam family "tRNA". Rfam says of the family: Transfer RNA (tRNA) molecules are approximately 80 nucleotides in length. Their secondary structure includes four short double-helical elements and three loops (D, anti-codon, and T loops). Lineage: Eukaryota; Bolidophyceae; Parmales; Triparmaceae. The record is from RNAcentral.